Molecule: small nucleolar RNA, 77 nt
Organism: Cavia porcellus (domestic guinea pig)
Lineage: Eukaryota; Metazoa; Chordata; Mammalia; Rodentia; Caviidae
Gene: SNORD83
Rfam family: Small nucleolar RNA SNORD83
About the family: U83 (SNORD83) and U84 (SNORD84) are members of the C/D class of snoRNA which contain the C (UGAUGA) and D (CUGA) box motifs.
Source: Ensembl
GCCACAUGAUGUUCUGAUCUGAGACGUGAGCGCUCUGCGCAGUGCUGACCCUGAUCUAUCACCCUGGACUGAUGGCU